GCGGCAACAGCUCAAAUUUGAAAUCUGGCCCCGUCGGGGUCGAGUUGUAAUUUGUAGAGAGUGUUUCGGGUGAKACCACGGUCUAAGUCUAUUGGAACAUGGCGUCAUAGAGGGUGAGAAUCCCGUAUGUGACCGUGGCUCGAGCCCACGUGAAGCCUCUUCGACGAGUCGAGUUGUUUGGGAAUGCAGCUCAAAAUGGGUGGUAAAUUUCAUCUAAAGCUAAAUACUGGCUGGAGACCGAUAGCGCACAAGUAGAGUGAUCGAAAGAUGAAAAGCACUUUGGAAAGAGAGUCAAAAAGUACGUGAAAUUGUUGAAAGGGAAGCGCUUGCAACCAGACCUGUCYGUAGGUGAUCAGCCGCUGUUCUCAGCGGUGCAUUCGCUCUGCGAUCAGGCCAGCAUCGGUUUCGGCGGUCGGAUAAAGGCCUUGGGAAUGUAGCUUCUUUCGGGGAGUCUUAUAGCCCUCGGUGCAAUGCGGCCAGCCGGGACCGAGGACCGCGCUUCGGCUAGGAUGCUGGCGUAAUGGUUGUAAGCGACCCGUCUUGAAACACGGACCAAGGAGUCUACCAUCUAUGCGAGUGUWUGGGUGUUAAACCCAUGCGCGGAAUGAAAGUGAACGGAGGUGAGAACCCUCUAGGGCGCAUCAUCGACCGAUCCAGAUGUCUUCGGAUGGAUUUGAGUAUGAGCAUAGCUGGUGGGACCCGAAAGAUGGUGAACUAUACUUGAAUAGGGUGAAGCCAGAGGAAA
RNAcentral lists this ribosomal RNA (745 nucleotides) under Usnea clerciana. Its description in RNAcentral is "eukaryotic LSU rRNA". It matches the Rfam family "Eukaryotic large subunit ribosomal RNA", at positions 98 to 861 of the family's 3401-position model. The record is from RNAcentral. Lineage: Eukaryota; Fungi; Ascomycota; Lecanoromycetes; Lecanorales; Parmeliaceae.